GCUGAGAUGUCCGAGCGGUCUAAGGAGCUGGAUUCAAGUGUUACAACUUGCACUGAUAGUGUUUCCCAGUAGGGCAACCUGCGGGGGUUCGAAUCCCCCUUUCAGCA
This is a non-coding RNA of Melampsora larici-populina 98AG31, 107 nucleotides long. Lineage: Eukaryota; Fungi; Basidiomycota; Pucciniomycetes; Pucciniales; Melampsoraceae. The record is from Rfam.